AACGAACGCUGGCGGCAGGCUUAACACAUGCAAGUCGAACGGUCUCUUCGGAGGCAGUGGCAGACGGGUGAGUAACGCGUGGGAAUCUACCUAGUUCUACGGAACAACAGAGGGAAACUUCUGCUAAUACCGUAUACGCCCUACGGGGAAAGAUUUAUCGGAAUUAGAUGAGCCCGCGUAAGAUCAGCUAGUUGGUGGGG
Molecule: ribosomal RNA, 200 nt
Filed under: uncultured bacterium
Lineage: Bacteria
Description: partial 16S ribosomal RNA
Rfam family: Bacterial small subunit ribosomal RNA
Source: RNAcentral